Molecule: long non-coding RNA, 567 nt
Filed under: Homo sapiens (human)
Lineage: Eukaryota; Metazoa; Chordata; Mammalia; Primates; Hominidae
Description: novel transcript
Source: RNAcentral
GUCAUCGCUUGUAGUUCCAGUUAUUUGGGAGGCUGAGGUGGGAGGAUCACUUGAGCAGGGAAGUGGAGGUCGCAGGGAGAAGAGAUUGUGCCACUGCACUCCAACCUCUAGGGUGACAGAGUGAGACCUUGUCUCAAAAACAAACAAACAGAGCAAAAAUUGGCUUGCAAGAGUGGAUUCAUUGAUCUUUCACUUCUUCCAUGUGAGGAACAGUAUUCCUGUAUCCUGGAGAAGGCAGCACUCGAGCCACCAUCUUGGAAGUGAAGAUCAGGCCCUCAGCAGACACAAAACCUGCCAGUGCCAUGAUCUUGGAUUUUUCAACCUGCAGGACUAUUCAAUGAAAUUCCAAUGAAAAUCUCAAGUUAUUAUGUGAAUAUUGAAAAACGAACCCUAAAGUUUAUAUGGAGAGCCAAAAAAUGCAAAAGAGCCAGCACAUAUUGAAAGAGAAGAACAAAGUCAGAAGAUUGACACUACCUGACUUCAAGACUUAUGAUAAAGCUUCAGUAAUAAAGACAGUGUGGUAUGGACAAACUAAUAGAAAUACAGAUCAAUGGAACAGAACAGAGA